Long non-coding RNA from Peromyscus californicus insignis, 816 nucleotides. RefSeq lists it as uncharacterized. The record is from RefSeq and is a predicted model, not a curated record. NCBI's taxonomy places the organism in Eukaryota, Metazoa, Chordata, Mammalia, Rodentia, Cricetidae. The transcript has 4 exons.
ACCAAAGAUCCAAAAGACAAAUUCCAGGCCCUCGGUGCCAGUGCCAUCUCGAAACGACAGAAUCCGGUCCAUGCAAUGGAGUCAUAGGAAGCAGCUACUGGUUCAUUCUGCACGGAGUUUCCAGUAUGUCUUGGAAAGCUACUCAGGCCACAUGAUGCCAUCCAUUGGUUGAAACUGGGAUUGUGGAUCUGCAGGUGAAGCGGAUGUAAGAUUAGAGAUUGGAGCUGGGGACAAUCUCUUCCACUGAAGCCAUUUGUCAUCCCUUUCUUGCUUUACGGAUACAGUGAGUGGCUCCUGAAAUUUAUGGGUGGUGCUACUUUCAUGCUACCUGGAGCACCCCCUCCCUCCUCCCCACAGUGAGGCCUCAUCCCUGCCAGCCUGCCGCUCAGGUUGUCGCUUUUAGAGUCCCUUCUUGAAGAUGUCUCCUGCCCCCUCCUCAGGUGAGCUGAAUCUAGAUCAACAAGAACCAGUGUGUGAGGUGGGGUGGGGCUAGAAAAUGAGCUGGCCUCAUUCCUCAGUUCUAGAAAUACCUAAAGGACCAGCUCAGCUUCUCGGUGUCCUCUGGGGUUCCCUGAGGCAUUUGGUACUCCGCAAUGACCUUUGUUACCUUCUCCGUGUGCUCAAGCCUGUUCCCCACAUUCCUUUACUCUCUUUUGAAAGCACAAAAAGACUUCUUUCAGAGUCUGUUUCUUGGGGACAUUAUAUAAGGGAACCCAUUUGAAGCGGGUACUGUUAUUUGUAUUGUUUGUUUUAUUUGUCUUGGGGAAAAUAUCUGGCUGUGUUCCAUUCAUUCCAUAGACAGUAGUAUAAGAAGGU